CGCGGCCUAUCAGCUUGUUGGCGGGGUAACGGCCCACCAAGGCAACGACGGGUAGCUGGUUUGAGAGAACGAUCAGCCACACUGGAACUGAGACACGGUCCAGACUUCUACGGAAGGCAGCAGUAGGGAAUCUUGCGCAAUGGGCGAAAGCCUGACGCAGCGACGCCGCGUGCGGGAUGACGGCCCUAGUGGUUGUAAACCGCUUUCAGCAGGGACGAAAAUGACGGUACCUGCAGAAGAAGUCCCGGCUAACUACGUGCCAGCAGCCGCGGUAAUACGUAGGGGACAAGCGUUGUCCGGACUCAUUGGGCGUAAAGAGCUCGUAGGCGGUUCAGUAAGUUGGGUGUGAAAGCUCCGGGCUCAACCCGGAGAGGCCACUCAAUACUGCUGUGACUAGAGUCCAGUAGAGGAGCGUGGAACUCCUGGUGUAGCGGUGAAAUGCGCAGAUAUCAGGAAGAACACCGGCAGCGAAGGCGGCGCUCUGGGCUGGUACUGACGCUGAGGAGCGAAAGCAUGGGUAGCAAACAGGAUUAGAUACCCUGGUAGUCCAUGCCGUAAACGUUGGGCACUAGGUGUGGGGAGGAAUCAACCCUCUCCGUGCCGUAGCUAACGCAUUAAGUGCCCCGCCUGGGGAGUACGG
Molecule: ribosomal RNA, 640 nt
Filed under: uncultured bacterium
Lineage: Bacteria
Description: bacterial SSU rRNA
Rfam family: Bacterial small subunit ribosomal RNA
Source: RNAcentral